AGUGGGAUAGCUGGAUCAAAUGGUAGUUUUAUUCCUAGUUUUCCAAGGAAUCUUCAUACUGCUUUCCAGAUUGGCUGCACCAAUUUGCAGUCCCAACAGCAAU
Molecule: microRNA precursor, 103 nt
Filed under: Marmota monax (woodchuck)
Lineage: Eukaryota; Metazoa; Chordata; Mammalia; Rodentia; Sciuridae
Source: RNAcentral